UGUUACAAUGAAGAAUAUAAUCUGACUUUGGGCUUCCAGUUCUGGCGAAGUAAAUUAUAGUGGGUUAACAUGUGUGCUAGUCCUAUUUUUAUUGCAAUGAAAAAAAUACCUGAGAAAUUCUACUUGAAGUAGAAAAUAUUUCUUUUGGCUCAUGGUUUCAAUCCAUGGUCAGCUGACUUCUUGCUAUGGGCUCGUGAUGAAGCAAAACAUCAUGGCAAGGAGGGUAUGAUAGAGCAAAGCUGCUCACCUCCUGACGGCCAGGAAACAGAGAAAGAAAAAGACCAAAGGGACAAGAUAUAGUCCCCGGAAGCAUGCCCCCAAAGGCCUAUUCCCUUCAACUAUUUCAACUAGGUCCCAACUUUUAUGUAUCUACAACCUCACAAUAAGUCUACUCAAUAAUGAACCCCUCAGUUGACUAGUUGGUGAGAUCAGAGACCUCAUGAUCCAACCAUGUCCCCAAAUCCCCCCUCUGAAUAUUGGGGACAAAAAUCUUCAACACAUGAAUCUUUGGGGAGAUGUUACAUAUCUAAGCCAUAACAACAUUCCCACAGGAACAAUUGUAACUCAGGACAAAAUCUAAAAAAUUCUGGAAAAUGAAUAAGAUGAGCAAAGACCAGAGGAAAUAUGAACUGAAAGAAGGAAAUCACACUGAGGGAGGGGGACAUCUUUGGCUUUUCCCCUUGGGAAACUCCACAGUGUGCGCAGGGUGUGGAGGAUCGAGCUCAACAAAAUGCAGCAGUCUUACUGAGUUAAGGCAUCAGAGAUUAAGUUUGAAGCUCCUGAAUUAAUUAAAGAUUGGAGGAAAUAUCAGAAAGGAAAGGGAAACAGAGGAAAAGCCUUGAUAUGUACUUAUAAACUCCCCUCAAAUACUGACUGACCUCUGGACUGGACACCCUUGGGGAAGUCUCCAAGCAGCUUAUGGAAAACAACAGUUGAAAGACUGAAUGACGGAGGUGACAAAAAUGUUAUGAGUUCAAGUUCCCAAAGUUAAGUGGGCCUGAUUUAAUAGUUUAGCCUUUUCAUUAAAAUUCUACAAAGACAACUUUCCAAGACUAAAGGCACAGUCAAAAAAGUUUAUCAGAGUAAAGUCUGAAGCCACCACAAAAGCCAACCCUGCAGUAAUUCAAUUUCUUUUUAGAACAAAAAUUCAGCACUCUUCAUAGGAAGACAACAGAAUCCAGAGUCUCCUCAAAGCAUCAUUCAUGAGGUAAACUACAUAAUCAAAAAUUGCUGGACUCACAUCAGCUCGCAGGGUGGGAAGACAAUAAGAGUGGUUACAUCUGAAUCCUGGAAUGAGCCAAUGCUGAAAAAAUCCUGUGGCAAUGACAACUGAGAAAUGCAAAGAAAAAUCAGCCUAUCUGUUUCUCUCUGGUGGUGUGGCAGCAGAAUUUAGACCAGCUCAGAUCCUCUUUUUGGAGGAAGUCAUGAAAAAGAAGAGGUCACUGGGUAGAGCGUGAUUACAAGUUGGUGCAAGGGGAUGGGAUGACAACGUUAGGGGCAGUCACUGCCCUGGAUUUUCUGGCCCUUCUCUGCAGGCUUCUAGCUAUGGAACUUCAAGUGUGCUGCAUAAUCUUCUUGUCUUUUGAAAUCUUCAUGUGAAAUCCUCAUGUGGGGGUAAAAACGGAUAGUAGAGGCACAGUACAAGACUCAGUGCCUUCCAGGAACAGGUGCUCAAUAAAAGUGCACUGUUGUCAUUUUUGCCUAGUUUUGAUAUCAGUCCAAUGGCUUCCCUGCCCAGGGUCAUUUUCUCAAACAUUUUAGGUCCAUCACCAGCCAACCUAGGCUUAACCUUGGCUCCCGAUAUUACUGAGAAUUUAUAUAAAAAGCCUCAGGAAAAAAGCUGCAAAAUUGUGGACAUUGGGUGUCACCUCUUCAGGACCAAAAAUUGGGAUGCAAACUCUAGGCAAAGCCAGGAAGCAUGGAAGCCAGUCGCCUUCCUGGAAAAGUCUGGAUUGGAGGCACCAGUCCCAAAGGAGUGGAACAUAGCUGCUCUGAAAGGGCUUUUCCUCUUCUAGUCUACUGAGUUUGAAAAAAAUGGGAAUAAAAGAACAUUUCUCA
Non-coding RNA from Ictidomys tridecemlineatus (thirteen-lined ground squirrel), 2058 nucleotides. The record is from RefSeq and is a predicted model, not a curated record. NCBI's taxonomy places the organism in Eukaryota, Metazoa, Chordata, Mammalia, Rodentia, Sciuridae.